RNA transcript from Lathyrus oleraceus (garden pea), 1931 nucleotides. RefSeq lists it as uncharacterized. Lineage: Eukaryota; Viridiplantae; Streptophyta; Magnoliopsida; Fabales; Fabaceae. The transcript is spliced from 3 exons. The record is from RefSeq and is a predicted model, not a curated record.
UACCACAAUAUAAGUCGUUUUAUAAUACCAAUGAAUCAUUAAUGUUAUUUUUCCUAUUAUACCCUUAAAUAUUUAUUAUUCUCUGUCCUUUCAAUCAUGUUAAUUUGUCUUUCCAAUACCAUUAAUGAAGGAUAAUUUUGUAAAAUUCUUCAUAAUUUAUCUUUUUCAUACCAUAAUUAUUACAUUUCUUAAAACGUGUGAAAAGUCAAAAACGACUUAUAAUAAAAAACGGAGGGAGUAUAUAUCCUACUACUUGCCUAGGUUUUCCAUCCAGAGCGCAAAGCAUCACUAUCAACAACAACCUUGUAGAUUCCACCGCCACUUCUGACUUCUGAGCAACAAUGAAUACGGUUAAGAAAAUCAAGAGUGAGUCAACCGAGUUGCCUGACUGUAUUAUAUCGUAUAUCUUUUCCAAGGUAAGUUUGAAGAAUUUGGUGAAAACUAGUGCUUUGUCCAAACAAUGGUAUCUCGAAUGGGGAUUAAGGAAGGAUCUCAAUUUUGAUCUCCAUAACAUGUUUGAUUAUAAUCCAAUUACAGACUUACCAAUAGCCUUUCCACUCUUUCAACAACUUCAAUCUCAAUUUGCCGCAAGUUUGGAUAAUUUCAUGCAGAAAUAUCCUGGUGACAUGAUCAGUUCAAUCCGAGUUAAUUUUCCAUUAUGUGUCGAUCAUACUUAUGCCCUUGAUGGAUUGGUUCAUAAAGGAGUUCUUAAGGGCGCCAAUCGUAUCGAGCUGCUAUUGCCAUAUACAUAUAAAACGGACAAAAGUGAUUUAAAAAUAAGGCCAUAUUUAUUUCCUUCCUUGUCUGGCCCUAAUUCUCUCACAUAUCUACGCUUACGGAACUGCCAUAUAGCAACUAUGGAAUUUUCUUGGUUGAAGAAUUUGAGAACUCUUGUGUUAACUCAUGUUCCUCUGAAGCAGAAUUCGCUUCCGGAUAUGUGUUUUAACUGCAUCCGCCUUGAGAACUUCACUCUUAAUCAAUGUAGGUUUCUAUCUGACAUAAAAAUAACUAGUCCAACCUUGCUUCAUUUGAAGAUUUACUGCGGCGGGCGUUUCUGGACAAAUAAUCUUGAUAUCAUUGCAUCAAAUCUUUUAUCCCUGGAAUAUUCUUCCAAGUUUUACACUCAUAUAUACCACAAGGUGAACAUUAACUCUCCUAUGUUAUCCAAGCUUACCUACACAUGUGGUAAAAUAUUUAAUCUGAGUUUUCUAGACUGACAAAUGUUAGAAAAAUUAUGUUGAAUGGACUCUCCAAAGAUGGCGAUGUCAUAACUCGUUUGUUUUCUACAUGUCUCCAACUGGAAGAUGUCUCCAUUAACAUGUGCCGGUUCGAUACGCGUGUUUUCAAAAUCAUCGGUGAAAAACUGCGUCGUUUGAGCAUAGCUCAUUGUUACCAUAGGAAAUACCGUAAUUGUUACCAUAGGAAAUACAGUCCUUGUAAGUUGGAAAUUCAUGCUUUGAAUCUCUCAUCCUUUGAAUAUAGAGGUAACAAGCAGAUUAGGAGCAUAAUCUCUAUUGAGGCUCCAAAGUUAUUGAAGGUUUUUUGGGAUGCAGGUUUUAACAAGAUAAAUAUAUAUAACUUUGCUACAAUUGCAAGCUUACAUCAUCCUGAGAAUUUAACUAUGCAUAUGAGCCUUUCCCAGGUAUCCAAGUUAAUGAAGGAAUAUAUGGAUCAAUAUCAAAAUCUUAUACAAUUGAAAUUAUAUAUUGGUGGAGCAUAUGAUCCUAAUAUGGACUGCUUUUGGAUUUUAGAUAAUGCAAUGGCUUCUCAACAUCUCCAAAAACUUUCUCUAACAAUGAGUUAUUCAACUUUUUAGUUUUCUGGUCAUUUUUUUAUUAUGUUAAUAUUUUUCUAAAUAGUCAUAUGCAAAUCAAUCUUGACUCGAACAUGAAGUUUUAGUUUCCUCUUUUAAAAUUUACAGUCUUUGUCUA